Molecule: ribosomal RNA, 530 nt
Filed under: uncultured Nitrososphaerota archaeon
Lineage: Archaea; Thermoproteati; Nitrososphaerota
Description: bacterial SSU rRNA
Rfam family: Archaeal small subunit ribosomal RNA
Source: RNAcentral
UCUGGUGUCAGCCGCCGCGGUAAAACCAGCACCUCAAGUGGUCAGGAUGAUUAUUGGGCCUAAAGCAUCCGUAGCCUGCUUUGUUAGUUUUCGGUUAAAUCCAUACGCUCAACGUAUGGGCUGCCGGGAAUACUGCAAAGCUAGGGUGUGGGAGAGGUAGACGGUACUCGGUAGGAAGGGGUAAAAUCCUUUGAUCUAUUGAUGACCACCUGUGGCGAAGGCGGUCUACCAGAACACGUCCGACGGUGAGGGAUGAAAGCUGGGGGAGCAAACCGGAUUAGAUACCCGGGUAGUCCCAGCUGUAAACUAUGCAGACUCGGUGAUGCAUUGGCUUGAUGCCAAUGCAGUGCCGCAGGGAAGCCGUUAAGUUUGCCGCCUGGGAAGUACGUACGCAAGUAUGAAACUUAAAGGAAUUGGCGGGGGAGCACCACAAGGGGUGAAGCCUGCGGUUCAAUUGGAGUCAACGCCAGAAAUCUUACCCGGAGAGACAGCAGAAUGAAGGUCAAGCUGAAGACUUUACCAGACAAGCU